ACACGACUACAUUAGAUACCCCGGUAGUCCAGGGUGUAAACGCUGCGGGCUUGGUGUUGGGGGUCCUUUGAGGGCGCCCAGUGCCGGAGAGAAGUUGUUAAGCCUGCUGCUUGGGGAGUACGUCCGCAAGGAUGAAACUUAAAGGAAUUGGCGGGGAGCACCGCAACGGGAGGAGCGUGCGGUUCAAUUGGAUUCAACGCCGGACAACUCACCAGGAGCGACGGUUACAUGAAGGCCAGGCUGAUGACCUUGCCUGAUUUUCCG
Molecule: ribosomal RNA, 264 nt
Filed under: uncultured archaeon
Lineage: Archaea
Description: partial 16S ribosomal RNA
Rfam family: Archaeal small subunit ribosomal RNA
Source: RNAcentral